This 555-nucleotide ribosomal RNA is filed under the name uncultured bacterium. RNAcentral's name for it is "bacterial SSU rRNA". It matches the Rfam family "Bacterial small subunit ribosomal RNA", at positions 377 to 923 of the family's 1533-position model. The record is from RNAcentral.
GAAAGCCUGAUGCAGCCAUGCCGCGUGUAUGAAGAAGGCCUUCGGGUUGUAAAGUACUUUCAGUUGUGAGGAAGGGGGUAACGUUAAUAGCGUUAUCUCUUGACGUUAGCAACAGAAGAAGCACCGGCUAACUCCGUGCCAGCAGCCGCGGUAAUACGGAGGGUGCGAGCGUUAAUCGGAAUUACUGGGCGUAAAGCGCAUGCAGGUGGUUCAUUAAGUCAGAUGUGAAAGCCCGGGGCUUAACCUCGGAACUGCAUUUGAAACUGGUGAACUAGAGUGCUGUAGAGGGGGGUAGAAUUUCAGGUGUAGCGGUGAAAUGCGUAGAGAUCUGAAGGAAUACCAGUGGCGAAGGCGGCCCCCUGGACAGACACUGACACUCAAAUGCGAAAGCGUGGGUAGCAAACAGGAUUAGAUACCCUGGUAGUCCACGCCGUAAACCGAUGUCUACUUGGAGGUUGUGGGCUUGAACCGCGGCUGUUUUUGGGAAACCGUUAAGUAGACCGCCUGGGGAGUACUGUCGCAAGAUUAAAACUCAAAUGAAUUGACGGGGGCCCG